This 615-nucleotide ribosomal RNA is filed under the name Tricholoma sp. 10 XXD-2021. Its description in RNAcentral is "partial small subunit ribosomal RNA". It matches the Rfam family "Bacterial small subunit ribosomal RNA", at positions 366 to 893 of the family's 1533-position model. The record is from RNAcentral. Lineage: Eukaryota; Fungi; Basidiomycota; Agaricomycetes; Agaricales; Tricholomataceae.
AGUCAAUGCUCGCAAGAGUGAACUAGCUAACUGAAAUCAUAUGACUCAUUAAUAUGGUGAUUAUGAUAACAUAAGGGAAAAAAAUGAUAUUACCUUAUUAUUAGUGUUGUCCAAAACUGGUGCCAGAAGACUCGGUAAGACCAGAGACGCAAACGUUAGUCAUCUUAAUCAGGCGUAAAGGGUUUGUAGGCUGCUUUAAAGUUUUAAAUCUUUGUAAUAGCUCUUUUACCGUAAUACUAUAUUUAUUUAUUUGAUAUGAGAAUAAACUAAAAUAUAGUAUAUAAAAUUUAUUAUCUAAAAUAAAAAAAUGAUAUUAAAUAAAUAUCCGUGUAUUAGUAAAGAAAUAAAAAAAUUAAAGCUAGGAUCAAAUUGAGGAUAAACCAAAUAAUACUUAGAGUAGGGCUUAUAUCCGUAGAUACUAAGGGGAAUACUAAAGGUGAAAACUUUUUAUCUACUAUUGAUUGACGCUGAGAAACGAAGGUGAGAAUAGGAAAUAGGAUUAGAUACCCAGAUACCUCUCACUGUCAACGAUGAAUGGUGGUUUGUUAGUUUUAAUAAAAACUGGUAACGAUGUUAACACGAUAACCAUUCCGCCUUGCGAGUACGGUUGCAAAA